Molecule: ribosomal RNA, 236 nt
Filed under: uncultured bacterium
Lineage: Bacteria
Description: partial 16S ribosomal RNA
Rfam family: Bacterial small subunit ribosomal RNA
Source: RNAcentral
CGGGACGGGUGAGUAACGCGUGGGUAACCUGCCUCACACAGGGGGAUAACAGUUAGAAAUGACUGCUAAUACCGCAUAACCCGAUAGGAUCGCAUGAUCCAGACGGAAAAGAUUUAUCGGUGUGAGAUGGACCCGCGUCUGAUUAGCUAGUUGGUGAGGUAACGGCCCACCAAGGCGACGAUCAGUAGCCGGCCUGAGAGGGUGAACGGCCACAUUGGGACUGAGACACGGCCCAA